UACAUGUGGGGCAAGCGUUGUUCGGAAUUACUGGGCGUAAAGCGUGCGCAGGCGGUGAUGUAAGACAGAUGUGAAAUCCCCGGGCUCAACUUGGGAACUGCAUUUGUGACUGCAUCGCUGGAGUGCGGCAGAGGGGGAUGGAAUUCCGCGUGUAGCAGUGAAAUGCGUAGAUAUGCGGAGGAACACCGAUGGCGAAGGCAAUCCCCUGGGCCUGCACUGACGCUGAGGCACGAAAGCGUGGGGAGCAAACAGG
Molecule: ribosomal RNA, 253 nt
Filed under: uncultured bacterium
Lineage: Bacteria
Description: partial 16S ribosomal RNA
Rfam family: Bacterial small subunit ribosomal RNA
Source: RNAcentral